GGAGAGGUGUCCGAGUGGUUGAAGGAGCACGCUUGGAAAGCGUGUAUGGUAGCAAUACUAUCGCAGGUUCGAAUCCUGUUCUCUCCGCCA
Molecule: transfer RNA, 90 nt
Filed under: Candidatus Saccharimonadota bacterium
Lineage: Bacteria; Candidatus Saccharimonadota
Description: tRNA-Ser
Rfam family: tRNA
About the family: Transfer RNA (tRNA) molecules are approximately 80 nucleotides in length. Their secondary structure includes four short double-helical elements and three loops (D, anti-codon, and T loops).
Source: RNAcentral